CCUGGUUGUUCCUGCCAGUAAUCAUAUGCUUGUCUCAAAGAUUAAGCCAUGCAUGUCUAAGUACAUGCCGAAAUAAGGCGAAACCGCGAAUGGCUCAUUAAAUCAGUUAUGGUUCCUUAGAUCGUUUCUUCCUACUUGGAUAACUGUGGCAAUUCUAGAGCUAAUACAUGCAGUGAGCCUGGAGCCCUUUGGGUAACGGGUGCUUUUAUUAGACCAACGAAGAUCGAUCGCGUUUCGGCCCGUAAUUGUGUAGCCUGACUCUGGAUAACUUUGUGCCUGCAUAGCAUGGCCACGAGACGGCGCCGACCUUUCUUUCAAGUGCUCUGCCAUUAAUCAACUUUCGAUGGUAGGUUGCCUUGCUUACCAUGGUUGUUACGGGUAACGGAGAAUCAGGGUUCGAUUCCGGAGAGGGAGCCUGAGAAACGGCUACCACAUCCAAGGAAGGCAGCAGGCGCGCAAAUUACCCACUCCCGGCACGGGGAGGUAGUGACGAAAAAUAACAAUACGGGACUCUUUUGAGGCCCCGUAAUUGAAAUGAGUACACUCUAAAUCCUUUAACGAGGAUCAAUUGGAGGGCAAGUCUGGUGCCAGCAGCCGCGGUAAUUCCAGCUCCAAUAGCGUAUACUAAAGCUGCUGCGGUUAAAAAGCUCGUAGUUGGAUCUCAGUUCCAGACGAGUAGUGCAUCUACCCGAUGCGACGGCUCGCGGACUGAACUCAUGCGCCGGUUCUUUCUUGGUGCACUUCAUUGUGUGCCUCGAGAUGGCCGGUGCUUUUACUUUGAAAAAAUUAGAGUGCUCAACGCAGGCGAGUCGCCUGAAUAAACUUGCAUGGAAUAAUAGAACAAGACCUCGUUUCUGUUCUGUUGGUUUUUGGAAUACGAGGUAAUGAUUAAGAGGGACGGACGGGGGCAUUCGUAUUGCGGCGCUAGAGGUGAAAUUCUUGGACCGUCGCAAGACGAACUACUGCGAAAGCAUUUGCCAAGAAUGUUUUCAUUGAUCAAGAACGAAAGUCAGAGGUUCGAAGGCGAUCAGAUACCGCCCUAGUUCUGACCAUAAACGAUGCCAACCAGCGAUCCGCCUGAGUUACUCAAAUGACUCGGCGGGCGGCAGCCUUCCGGGAAACAAAGUAUUUGGGUUCCGGGGGGAAGUUUAUGGCUUGCCAACGCCUGAAACUUAAGCGAAUUGACGGAAGGGCACCACCAGGAGUGGAGCCUGCGGCUUAAUUUGACUCAACACGGGAAAACUUACCCGGCCCGGACACUGGGAGGAUUGACAGAUUGAGAGCUAUUUCUUGAUUCGGUGGAUGGUGGUGCAUGGCCGUUCUUAGUUGGUGGAGCGAUUUGUCUGGUUAAUUCCGAGAACGAACGGACUCUGCAUAUUAAUAGGUGCGGGCGUUCCAAGCACCUUAUACACAACCUUCUUAGAGGGACAAGCGGCUCCUAGCCGCACGAAACAGAGCAAUAACAGGUCUGUGAUGCCCUUAGAUGUCCGGGGCCGCACGCGCGCUACACUGAAGGAAGCAGCGUGUCUUUAUCCCUGUCUGAAAAGACUGGGUAACCCGUGGAACUUGCUUUCGUGAUGCGGAUAGGGGCUUGCCAAUUGUUCCCCUUGAGAGAAUUCCGCCCAGUAAGCACGAGUCAUAAGCUCGCGUUGAUUACGUCCCUGCCCUUUGUACACACCGCCCGUCGCUACUACCGAUUGAAUGAUUUAGUGAGGUCUUCGGACCGAUGUCCGGCGCGGCCUUUCGGUUGCGCCGGUCUGUUGGAAAGAUGACCAAACUUGAUCAUUUAGAGGAAGUAAAAGUCGUAACAAGGUUUCCGUAGGUGAACCUGCGGAAG
Molecule: ribosomal RNA, 1837 nt
Filed under: Rhipicephalus microplus (southern cattle tick)
Lineage: Eukaryota; Metazoa; Arthropoda; Arachnida; Ixodida; Ixodidae
Description: SSU rRNA
Rfam family: Eukaryotic small subunit ribosomal RNA
Source: RNAcentral